GCGAGAGAGGAGGCGACUUAUAAAGCGGACACUGGCACUUUAAAUGCAGCCCGGGUCACUGGAAAACACAAGCCUUUAUGCAAUACAAAGACAAGACGAACGGAAGGAAUAUGAAGACAGUGUAAAGAUAAGUUUGUCGUUGGAUUUGGCGGCAGUGCAGUGAUCUGUUCAUUAGGGCCUGUAAGCGCUCCUUUCUGCUGAAGUGUUUAUAGGCUAAAGGGAGCCGCUGACUCGCCCUGAUCAAUAGUCUAUGUUUGAUCUGUGGGCUUUAAACUGCGACACAUGACGAUUUCAAGUGGAAGGAGAUUAAGCACACAUGGGAACGGGCCUCGAUCCACACUCACACAUCCAACACGACGAGAAUGUAAUCAAGCGCUGAGCCAUUAUCACACAUGACUUCAGAGUUGUUCAUGCUGGAAACUUUGCAGAUCCGCUGCUAACAGUCGAAUCCGCGCCGUUAGAGACACCAUUAUAUGUCUGAAUUACGGGCUGAAGUAGCGGUAAAUAAGAGGUGGAAUGACGAGGUGGAAAGGCUGGAAAAGAAGAUAGUGAAGUGAACAGUGCUUUCACCAGCGUUGUAGUUACUCAAUAAAUCAUGUUACGCAUUA
This is a long non-coding RNA of Ictalurus punctatus (channel catfish), 608 nucleotides long. RefSeq lists it as uncharacterized. The record is from RefSeq and is a predicted model, not a curated record. The transcript is spliced from 3 exons. NCBI's taxonomy places the organism in Eukaryota, Metazoa, Chordata, Actinopteri, Siluriformes, Ictaluridae.